Molecule: long non-coding RNA, 1746 nt
Organism: Oryctolagus cuniculus (rabbit)
Lineage: Eukaryota; Metazoa; Chordata; Mammalia; Lagomorpha; Leporidae
Source: Ensembl
AUGGGCUCGGGCCGCACAGCCGGGCCGGGGCCGAGCCGGCGGGGGACGGCCCGGGACCCCACGGGAAAGAGACGCUUCCUUCCCGGCCUCCUGCUGCCCGGAAAUCCCCCCGCGCUCGGACUGCCUGCCGCGCGGGGUCGCGGGCAAGGGCGGCGCGAGGGGGCGGGGAGGCACGGGCUGCACGAUUCGGGGAAAGCAGAAGCGAGCCCCGCUCUGACGAGCUGGGAUCUGGGAAGAGAAACUCGAGGGCGCCGCCGCCCCCACCCCAGCGCUCGGCUGACCGCUCCUCUUAGAAGCGCGCAGAAGAGGGUCUCUGGGGAGUGGACGGCUAGCCCACUGCUCGCACCUCCCGGCUCCACGGCGGAGGAUUGGGCCACUUCCCCGCCACGCCCUCCUCUCGUAUCGGGGUGCGCCCGCCCCGCCCGGCCCUCCACUCGCGCCGGUAGCAGCACUGGCCCACGGCGCAGGACCAGCCCAGGACCCGAGAGGCCGCCGCAACAGGCCCGUUAUCCACCCACCCUCGGACCCGCUCCCGACCCCAGACCCGCCGGAUCUUCUGCCGACACUGCUGUCCCCAGAGCGGCCGGGGCCAGCACCCCUCUGAACCCCAGGGCUGCCCACGGCUGGAGCGCGCCAUGCGGCUGCGGGAGCUCCCGCCCCGGUUCUGGCUCCUGGCCCUGCUGCUCCCGCCGCUGCCGCCGCCAGCGCGCGCUGAGACCUCGGCGCAGGACGUGAGCCUGGGCGUGGACUGGCUGACCCGCUAUGGCUACCUGCCGCCACCUGACCCAGUGCAGGCCCAGCUGCAGAGCCUGGAGAAGCUUCGUGAUGCGGUCAAGGUCAUGCAGAGGUUCGCUGGGCUGCCUGAGACCGGCCUCAUGGGUAGGUGGACCCCGCCCUGCCCGUGCAGCCCCAGGCCCUGCCUCUGCAUCCAGCCAGCCAGCGUGCACCUGAGCACAGGCAGCCCAAACCCAGAGUGAUGGAGAAUCUGUCACAGGCUGAGUGGUCUCAGGCUCCACCAGUGUGGUGGGAGACAAGGCCCCUGCCCCAGGGAGCGGCCGUUCUGGAGUGAGACUGGGGAGAGGUCAAGGAUUUAAACAUAAUUUCCCACGAAGAGGCGCCAGCCCUGGGAGCUGUGGGGCCAGAGCACCCCCAGCCAGGGCCUGCCCAGCUGCCCGGGGAAGGUGCUGGGUUUGAGUCCAGGGGCAGUGAGCGGCCGGGAGGGUGUGAAGGCGGAAGGCGACCCCGUUGGGUUUGCAGUUCUACUCCUUUCCUGUGGUUGCUAACGGAGAACAGAGAACGGAGGGUAGGCGGCUGUAGCACAUGGACAGGGGGUGAUGGCCGGCAAUGGGGAUGGAUGUGGCCAGAGGCUGUUGGAUUGCAGGUGUCUGGGGGGUAGAUCUGCAGGGUACCUCUGCAGUUAAAUGGGAAAGGCAGAGGGGGCUUGUGGGAGCUGGGCUGGCUCACGGGACUCUACUGUGGUGCCCUCACUCGUGCGCCACCCACAAGCGGGUUCUCAACCCUGGGCCACCUCUGUGCAAGGACUGAGGUCUGGGCCCCGUGUGGCCGCCAGGAGCGCAGAGGACGGCCCUGUGGGGUGUGGGCGGUCCCCCGCAGGCGUUCAGCCUCACACGGAGGGGUCCUCACUGCACCAGCCACGGGCGCUCAGGGAAGGAGGACCACCUGGCUGGAGCUGGGUGACCCCGCCUGGAAGGGCAGCGCUGAGAGUCUGGUGUGACCUGGCUUCCA